This 5270-nucleotide long non-coding RNA is filed under the name Homo sapiens (human). Its description in RNAcentral is "HSALNT0082440". Lineage: Eukaryota; Metazoa; Chordata; Mammalia; Primates; Hominidae. The record is from RNAcentral.
UGGCCUGCCAUGGCCGCAUCCUGGGCCUAUAAAAACCCAAGAUGCUAGCAAGGCAGUGACAGAGGCCGCCAGACGUUGAGAGGACAAGUCAGCAGAAGACGCCACAGCCGCUGGCGGUGGAGAGGAGGUCGAGAGGCUCACGCGCGCAGAAGAAAAUACCGGCACACGGACAGGCCAUUGACCGGCAGGACCAGGCGGAGUUUGGCCCGGGCAGUGGGAGGAGAGCCAGGGGAAGAUCAUCUUCCUUCUGGCUCCCCAUCGUGGGAGAGUUAACACUUGACACUCGUUCUCCAAGCCCAGGUGUGCUGCGAUUCUUCAGGUACACCAAGGCAAGAACCCGGGAUACAGAAAUCCCUCUCUCCUUGCGAUAAGGAAGGGGGCCUAUUGAGCUGGUUAACAUGAGCCGCCUAUAGACACCUUGUAACAGACGCCCCCUGGGUCUUCAGGAGCCGUAAACAUCCACCGCAGACACCGCCGUGGGGUCGGAGCCGCACAAAGCUCCCCUGGAGGUUUGAGCAGCGGGAAGCGAGCCAGAGCCACACCCCAACUGCACACCCUGCGGGGGCCUUUCAGAUGGGAAGAGGGUGAAGUCCAUUUUCUCCUCCUUUGAGUCUGGGCUUGACUGACUAACACGGCUUUUGCUAAUGGGAAAUUAACAAACAUGAUAAAGAGGCUUAAGAAGAACUGACGUUGGGGUUUUGCUUCCUGCUGCUCCUGGGACCCUGCUGUCAUGUGAACACAUCGGAUUAUCUUGUCGGAGAAUGAGACCAGGGGAAGAGAACCAACCUACCCUGGCCGAUAGAAAGCCACUCCCAGGGCCGGACACGGUGGCUCACGCCUGUAAUCCCAGCACUUUGAGAGGCCAAGGUUGGUGGAUCACUUGAGGCCAGGAGUUCGAGACCAGCCUGGCCAACAUGAUGAAAGCCCGUGUCUACUAAAAACACAAAAAUUAGCUGGGCGUGGCGGGCGCCUGUGAUCUCAGCUACUCCGGAGGCUGAGGCAGGAGAAGUGCAUGAACCCGGGAGGUGGAGUUUGCAGUCAGCCAAGAUUAUGUGCUCCCCAGCCUGGGCAACAGAAUGAGACUGCGUCUCAAAAAAAAAAAAAAAAAAGCAAAGAAAAAAAAGAAAGCCACUCCCAGAGGGUAAGUGGGGCCAUCUGGAUAUACUAGCCCUCACCAGUCCACUGACUGAUCACCAGAAUUUGCAAAUGAAGACAAAUGCAUGAGUGAGCCUCACCAAAAAUAGCAAGCAAAGUGUCCUGCCUCGCUCCAGUGAUGAUCUAUAGAAUCAUGAGUUGACAAUUGUUGUGUUAGGACACUAAGGUUUGGAAUGGUUCAUGACACAGCAGUAGAUUACCAAUACCAGUCAAAUGGUGAUGAGAACAGAGUAACUGUUGCAAGUUUCAGAAGUAAUGCUGUGUUUUUGUUUUUCUUUGAGAGGUUUGAGUGCUGUGCUCACCUAAGUUUAAAAUGAAAAUGGGGCUGGGCAUGGUGGCUCACGCCUUUAAUCCCAGCACUUUGGGAGGCCAAGGCACGCGGAUCACUAGAAGCUAGGAGUUCAAGACCUGCCUGGCCAACAUAGUGAAACCUCGUUCUCUACUAAAAAUACAAAAGUUGGCGGGGAGUGGUGACUCAUGCCUGUAAUCCCAGCACUUGGGGAGGCCGAGGCGGGCAGAUCACGAGGUUAGGAGUUGGAGACCAGCCUGGCCAACACAGUGAAACCCCGUCUCCACUAAAAAUACAAAAAUUAGCUGAGCUUGGUGGUAUGCGCCUGCAACCCCAGCUACUCGGAAGGCUGAGGCAGGAGGAUCGCUUGAACUCGGGAGGCGGAGGUUGCAGUGAGCCGAGAUUGUGCCACAGCGCUCCAGCCUGGGCAAAAGAGCUAGACUCCGUCUCAAGAAAAAAAAAAAAAAAAGUUAGCCAGGCAUGGUGGCACACACCCAUAAUCCCAGCUACUCCAGAGGCUGAGGCACGGGAAUCACUUGAAUCUGGGGGCGGAGCUUGCAAUGAGCCAAGAGCGUGCCACUGCACUACAGCCUGGGCAACAGAGUGAGAUUCUGUCUAAAAACUAACUAACUAAAUAAAUAAAUAAAUGAGAAUGGUAUUUGCAUAUAGCCACUAGCUGGUCCCCAAAAGCCUCUUCCCUGGCCAACUGGUCUCCUGCAGAACCCUGACUAGUGACAAUUCCUCCAUGGAACCUCUUUUUCUAUUAUUAAACAAUUAUAUAAGUGCAUAUUCUGGGUAGGAAGUGCUUUCACACUCUAAAAACCCUCUUCUGUGAUGAAAUCUGGUUGUUUUCCUUUAAAGAUGAAAUAUAUUUCUACUGACCCCAAUGUGGAGAUCAAGUGAUUCUCACCUUGAAAGUAUCAUGGUUGGUCACUGUGAUUAGAACAAGAAAAUGCUGUGAUUUUUCUCUGCAACAGUAGGGCCGACUUGUCCUGAAAGCCGAAAGUCUUUGCAGCGAAAGGAAAGGGUGCAGUGGAUGACUCCUAGCCCUGAGAAUAACAUGGAUCUGGAAGGUCCAUAUAUCAUUCAGUGAAUCAGUAAACACCACUGGGUUCCCUUUGGGGAUAUAGCACCAACAAUAAAGGGCCCUGUUCUGAAUUCUCUGGAAUUAAACUGAGUGUUCAGGAUGCAAAACUCAUUAAAAAUUGGCAGUUGCGGCAUGGCAUGGCAUAAUAAUAAAUCCAGGAGCAGAAGGGAUGCGAACCCAUAUAUCAAAUGAGGUCCCAAACGCUCCCCAGUGUGUGACUCCUGCUAGUUCUAGUGUGGCUGCCAUUGCAUGGGACGUGUUGGAGUCCUUCAUGGGCGCUCCAUGAAAGACAUCUUUCUGUGCUACAGGCAGCCCUGGUGGGAUGUGCUCCCACCACAAUGAAAAAGUCAGCCCUAGAAAGAUCAGUGGCAGAGGAAAGAAGUGGGUAUUUUGCUUUGUUUUUUUCCCAAAACAGAAAGACGUAAUUGCUAUUCCCACUCUGGUAAGCUUGGCAUAUAAAUACCAGGGACUCUGGUCUUCCUGGCAACCCCUCUCUCCAUUGGUACUCAGUCACUCCAAGCAUGUUCCAUGGCAUGUUAAUAAGUGCUGCUUCAACAAGCCUUAAAGAACAUAGUUCCACUCUUCAUGCUAAUUGCCUAUGCACAUUCUCUCCCACCUUUCACCAUCACAAAUUCAGAAACAGCCAGCAACUCCUCACAAGUGAAUGGUAUUAAGCUGUUAGGUCGUAAGUAAGACCAAUUGAAUCAACAGGUUCAUAGGACUUUAAACGUCACACUGCUUCAGAUGUCUAGAUCAUCAGUUACUCCCAUCCUGCUGUGCCUCCAUCUCCAGGUUUCUUCACAUGAGCUUACUAGCUUAAAUGAGAUUUAUUUGAACUAAAAAGGUGAAGGAUGACAGGGCAUGGUGGCUCACGCCUGUAAUCCCAGCACUUUGGGGGCCGAAGUGGGCGGAUCACCUGAGGUCAGGAGUUCGGGACCUGCCUGACCAAAGUGGAGAAAUCCCGUCUACCAAAAAUACAAAAAAAUGAGCCGGGCGUGGUGGCGCAUGCCUAUAAUUCCAGCUACUCGGGAGGCUGAGGCAGGAGUAUCGCUUGAACCCAGGAGGCAGAGGUUGUGGUGAGCCAAGAUCACACCACUGCACUGCAGCCUGGGCAACAAGAGUGAAACUCUGUCUCAGAAAAAAUAAAAAAAAGCAGAAGGAUCUCCCCACGCUCUCACAAUGGUUAGUUACUGGUUAAAAUUCAUUAUGUGCCUUUAGAAAUUAAAGUGAUAAGUUGGAGACCUAACUAGCUCUGAAAGCUAAUAAGCUACGGCAGAGAGGGUGGGAAUCUGAGAGGCAGAGAGUAAGAGUAAGUAAAGGAGAGUAAGAGUAAGAAAACACGUGUGGGGUCCACUCUACCCUGUGACGGUGUCAAUAAACUGUAUGCAAAAGGCUAGUACUUUUUUUCUGAACUUGUCUAAAUCUACUUUUAUUUAAAUAGAAAUCCAAAACACUUCCUAGGUUAUGAUUUUCAAGAUCAGUCUAAAAUUUAAAAGUAAGCCCCUAAAAAUAAUGUUUGAAUUAUUAGCUAUAGAAAAUAUUUCAUGGCUGGGCAUAUGUGUCUCACGCCUGUAGUCCCAGCACUUUGGGCGGCCAAAGCGGGCAGAUCACCUGAGGUGAGGAAGUCAAGACCAGCCUGGCCAACAUGGUGAAACCCUAUCUUACUGAAAAUACAAAAAUUAUCCGGGCGUGGUGGCGUGCACCUGUAGUCCCAGCUACUCGGGAGGCUGAGGCAGGAGAAUGGCGUGAACCCGGGAGGUGGAGGUUGCAGUGAGCCAAGAUGGUGCCACUGCAAUCCAGCCUGGGAGACAGAGUAAGACUCCAUCUCCAGAAAAAAAAAGAAAAUAUUUCAUGCCUAUCAAUCAGAAAAAAUACAAUAAUUAUUCAAGCACACAUGAAAUCUUAAAAUCAUGUUCACGUGCUAGCAUACGAGGAAAACCUUAAUCCAUUCUGAAGAUCAAUAUUAUAAAGAUUGUGGUCUGCUGAUAAUACAGUAAAUUUGAAACCAUUAGUAGAUGAUUGAUUUAAAAUGUUAUGCCCGGGACAUUUACAACAUGCAAUUAAAAACUUCUGAGCAAGCUUUUGCCAGUGCCUGCUGCCUUUUGUGAUUGUGCAUCCUAGCUGAGGCAUGCAGAACCAAAUGAAAGCAAGGAUUCAUUAACUCUUUGAACUUGUUAAAUGCUAACAGUUAACCAUUAGAAAUGGUUCAACGAUGUGAGCCACACUACUUCAACUUUUUCUUUGUUGUAGUUUUAGAAUGGUCAAUUUUUAGCUACUUGACAGAUUAAAAGCAAAAUAAUCACGCCAUAUUUAGUCCUGGAGUUCAAGUCUACAUGUUUAUGUGAAAAAUCUUUGUAAUAAACUUUUAACAUGAGAAGGCAACCUUAAGCUCUAUUUUAGCCAAAUGAAACAAAACCUGAAAUUGUAUUAGAACAUUUCCCUGUCUUCAAACUGGUGUAACAGAAUCCUGAUAUGCAGCUUGAUGGAUUUCACCAGUUAAGGCACAUUCUUCUCCCUCCGUCCCUGCAAUACUGUGUAUACUGAACAAUGUGCAUUUGUCUGAGGAGUUAUUUUGUUUGCCACCACUUAACGAAUCUCAAAAUUUUGAGUAACUGUACCUCAGUCUAAUCGGACUUUUUAUGAGCUUUAUAACUACAUUGAAACCCUUAAUUCCCAUUUCUGGGUGUUUGUGAGCCUGAUUGCUGUCAUUUGCGACUCUAGGUACUCACCAGCUAAAUA